GGCCGCGUGGCCUAAUGGCUAAGGCGCUAGAUUUCGGUUCCAGAUCUCCCCAACUCUCUAGAGAUUCCAGGUAGGUUCUCAUUCAAACGAGCUUCUCCGCAUCCAGGCAAUAGACUAACAUCUCCAAAAGGUUCGACUCCUGGCGUGGUCG
This 151-nucleotide transfer RNA is filed under the name Fusarium verticillioides 7600. RNAcentral describes it as "Gibberella moniliformis 7600 tRNA". It matches the Rfam family "tRNA". From Rfam's summary of the family: Transfer RNA (tRNA) molecules are approximately 80 nucleotides in length. Lineage: Eukaryota; Fungi; Ascomycota; Sordariomycetes; Hypocreales; Nectriaceae. The record is from Rfam by way of RNAcentral.